This 369-nucleotide ribosomal RNA is filed under the name uncultured bacterium. RNAcentral's name for it is "bacterial SSU rRNA". It matches the Rfam family "Bacterial small subunit ribosomal RNA", at positions 527 to 898 of the family's 1533-position model. The record is from RNAcentral.
GGAGGGUGCAAGCGUUAUCCGGAUUUAUUGGGUUUAAAGGGUCCGUAGGCGGAUCUGUAAGUCAGUGGUGAAAUCUCAUAGCUUAACUAUGAAACUGCCAUUGAUACUGCAGGUCUUGAGUAAGGUAGAAGUAGCUGGAAUAAGUAGUGUAGCGGUGAAAUGCAUAGAUAUUACUUAGAACACCAAUUGCGAAGGCAGGUUACUAUGUCUUAACUGACGCUGAUGGACGAAAGCGUGGGGAGCGAACAGGAUUAGAUACCCUGGUAGUCCACGCUGUAAACGAUGCUAACUCGUUUUUGGGGCUUCGGCUUCAGAGACUAAGCGAAAGUGAUAAGUUAGCCACCUGGGGAGUACGUUCGCAAGAAUGAA